GACGAACGCUGGCGGCGUGCUUAACACAUGCAAGUCGAGCGAUGAAGCACCUUCGGGUGUGAAUUAGCGGCGAACGGGUGAGGAACACGUGAGAAAUCUGCCUUCAACUCUGGGAUAACUCCGUGAAAACGGGGCUAAUACCGGAUAUGAAACCUGCGGGCAUCCGCGGGUUUGGAAAGUUUUUCGGUUGAAGAUGAUCUCGCGGCCUAUCAGCUUGUUGGUGAGGUAAUGGCUCACCAAGGCGACGACGGGUAGCCGGCCUGAGAGGGCGACCGGCCACAGUGGGACUGAGACACGGCCCAGACUCCUACGGGAGGCAGCAGUGGGGAAUAUUGGGCAAUGGAGGAAACUCUGACCCAGCGACGCCGCGUGCGGGAUGAAGGCCUUCGGGUUGUAAACCGCUUUCAGCAGGGAAGAAGCGAAAGUGACGGUACCUGCAGAAGAAGCACCGGCUAACUAUGUGCCAGCAGCCGCUGUAA
Molecule: ribosomal RNA, 479 nt
Filed under: uncultured bacterium
Lineage: Bacteria
Description: partial 16S ribosomal RNA
Rfam family: Bacterial small subunit ribosomal RNA
Source: RNAcentral